This 568-nucleotide ribosomal RNA is filed under the name uncultured Lachnospiraceae bacterium. RNAcentral describes it as "bacterial SSU rRNA". It matches the Rfam family "Bacterial small subunit ribosomal RNA", at positions 907 to 1475 of the family's 1533-position model. The record is from RNAcentral. Lineage: Bacteria; Bacillati; Bacillota; Clostridia; Lachnospirales; Lachnospiraceae.
GAAUUGACGGGGACCCGCACAAGCAGCGGAGCAUGUGGUUUAAUUCGAAGCAACGCGAAGAACCUUACCAAGGCUUGACAUCCUCUGACAGCCAUAGAAAUAUGGAUUCCCUUCGGGGCAGAGAGACAGGUGGUGCAUGGUUGUCGUCAGCUCGUGUCGUGAGAUGUUGGGUUAAGUCCCGCAACGAGCGCAACCCUUAUCAUUAGUUGCCAGCACGUAAGGUGGGAACUCUAAUGAGACUGCCGGGGAUAACUCGGAGGAAGGUGGGGACGACGUCAAAUCAUCAUGCCCCUUAUGUCUUGGGCUACACACGUGCUACAAUGGCCGGUACAAAGGGCUGCGAAGCCGUAAGGUGGAGCGAAUCCCAUAAAGCCGGUCUCAGUUCGGAUCGUGGGCUGCAACCCGCCCACGUGAAGCCGGAGUUGCUAGUAAUCGCGAAUCAGCAUGUCGCGGUGAAUGCGUUCCCGGGUCUUGUACACACCGCCCGUCACACCAUGGGAGUUGGGAGCGCCCGAAGCCAGUGAGCUAACCAGCAAUGGAGGCAGCUGUCGAAGGUGAGACCAAUGAC